Molecule: non-coding RNA, 1232 nt
Organism: Rhinopithecus roxellana (golden snub-nosed monkey)
Lineage: Eukaryota; Metazoa; Chordata; Mammalia; Primates; Cercopithecidae
Source: the annotation of a RefSeq genome assembly
UUGAAACCUGCUUGGUGUGGGAUGUGCGGUGGCUGCUGCUUUGUUGCUUGAGAGACCUCCCCCGACCUAGGAUCAGACUCAGAUUCUAAGUUCUGGGGCCUGGAACCUCUGUGUGCACUUGAACAAUGAAGUUGGUGGCAAGCAUUACUGUACUCCUAUAUUUGGGUGUUAGGGGUGAUGCUAAGACCACACAGCCAAAUUCAAUGGAGAGUAAUGAAGAAGAGCCUGUACACUUGCCUUGUAACCACUCCACAGUCAGUGGAACUGAUUACAUAUACUGGUAUCGACAACUUCCCUCCCAGGGUCCAGAGUAUGUGAUUCAUGGUCUUACAAGUAAUGUGAACAACAGAAUGGUCUCUCUGACAAUCGCCGAAGACAGAAAGUCCAGUACCUUGAUCCUGCACCAUGCUACCUUGAGAGAUGCUGCUGUGUACUACUGCAUCUUAAGAGACCACAGUGGGACAGAUGGGGCUGCAGCUGUGCAAUAUCUCCGUGGUGGUGAAAAGGAAGGCAUCUAACGAGGUCACUGCACAAGAAGGAGCAGAAGUUUAAUAGAAGAAGAAGAAAAUUUAAAGAAGAAAAGGGAAAAGAAGUAAAGAGGAGGUGGUAAGGAAAUCAAUGAGAGAAUUAAAGGAAUGAAGAAACUGAGAAAGAAUAGCUAAGAAGUCUUGAAGAAAAGACUGAGAAGCUUGGCAAAGAGAUGAAGAAUCACGAUUGGAAUUCUGCAAUGAAGAAGAAAGGAAAUAAGAAUUUUCCAGGACCCUUUCUUUUAAUCAACUCUUGCUUUCCAUGUAGAUCUCACUAUAAAAGAUGAGAACCAUCAUCUGGUUGUCCCAAAGCGUUUCUUCAUCUAACCCCAGGGAAGUGCCUGGGCUUUGAAUAUUAUGUUAGUCCUUCCAACCUCUCAAUAAUUGAAAUGAAUUUCAGAAAUUGAUUCAUUUGCCCUUACAAAAAAUUUGAAGUUUUAUUUGUUACUCAUCCAUAGCAUAUACUCUUGGGAUAUAGAUAAUUUCUGGAAGGAAACAAGAAAGUGGUGGAUAUGUGAAUAUUGAUAUCAUUUUUUAAAUCUAUGUUGAAAUAUCUCUAUUAUUACACAAAAAUACACAAAUCUUUUUUCAUUGUAAAAGAUUCAAACUAUUAAGUAUGUGAAGUAAAACCUCAAAGACCCAAACUGACUGUCUCCAUCUCCAUCCCAUUUUCUCUUCAAUUCCUACAAUAAACCAUUUUGACAA